Molecule: non-coding RNA, 109 nt
Organism: Caerostris extrusa
Lineage: Eukaryota; Metazoa; Arthropoda; Arachnida; Araneae; Araneidae
Source: the annotation of a GenBank genome assembly
AUGGCCAUACCAUGCUGAAUAUGCCGGUUGUCGUUCGAUCACCGAAGUCAACAUUCAUCGGGCGCGACCGGUACUUGGGAGUGACCACCUGGAAACACCACGUGCCGUU